UCUUCCGAUCUGGCGCUGGAAGGCGAUGAAGGACGUGGCAAGCUGCGAUAAGCCUCGGUUAGCUGCAAGCAAGCUUACCCGAGGAUUUCCGAAUGGGACAACCCAGCUGGCUGAAGGCCAGUUAUUUUUGGAUGAAUGAAUAGUCCAAAAAAGCUAUACGGGGUGAAGUGAAACAUCUCAGUAACCCCAGGAAAAGAAAAUGAAUAUGAUUCCGUAAGUAGUGGCGAGCGAAAGCGGAACAGCCUAAACCAAGGAACUUGUUCCUUGGGGUCGUGGGACUCCGUUAUGAACGACGAAGAGAAGUGUAACUGUUUGGAAAGACAGACCAUAGCGCGUGACAGUCGCGUGCACGUAAUCGACGAAAAUUCUAGGAGUAUCCCGAGUAAUGCGGGACACGUGAAACCCUGCAUGAAUCAAUCCCGACCACGGGAUAAGGCUAAAUACUAACCAGCGACCGAUAGUGCACAAGUACCGUGAGGGAAAGGUGAAAAGUACCCCUGUUAGGGGAGUGAAAUAGUUCCUGAAACCGUAUGCUUACAAAGUGUAGGAGUCCUCUUUGAGGAUGACUGCGUGCCUUUUGCAUAAUGAGUCUGCGAGUUAUUGUCUGUAGCAAGCCUAAGCUUCGUUGAAGCGGAGGCGAAGGGAAACCGAGUGUGAAAUGCGCGAAUGAGUUGCAGGCGAUAGACCCGAAACGGAGGUGAUCUAUCCAUGGGCAGGUUGAAGCUGCGGUAACACGCAGUGAAGGACCGAACCGGUGUACGUUGAAAAGUGCUCGGAUGACCUGUGGAUAGGAGUGAAAGGCUAAUCAAACCCCGUGAUAGCUGGUUCUCUCCGAAAUAGCUUGAGGGCUAGCGUCGGACAAGUACUUCAAGGGGGUAGAGCACUGAUAGGCCUAGGGCCCUCACCAGGGUACCAACGCCUAAUAAACUCCGAAUACCUUGAAAACCAUUACUCCGGCAGUCAGUCGAUGGGGGAUAAGCUUCAUCGGCGAAAGGGAAACACCCCAGACUACCAGCUAAGGCGCCUAAAUACCGUUAAGUGGAAAGGAUGUAUCGUUACUAAGACAGUGAGGAUGUUGGCUUAGAGGCAGCCACCAUUUAAACAGUGCGUAAUAGCUGACUCAUCGAGUGAUGAUGCGCCGAAAAUGAUUGGCGAUAAACGGUAUGCCGAAGCUGUAGGGCGCAAUUCGAUUCGUCGUUUUGCGUCGGUAGGAGAGCGUAAUCAAUGCAGUGAAGCCAUUCUGUAAGGAAUCGUGGAGCGUUGAUUAGUGAGAAUGCAGACAUGAGUAGCGAUAAACAAGGUGAGAAUCCUUGUCGCCGUAAACCUAAGGUUUCCUGGGCCAGGUUCGUCCUCCCAGGGUUAGUCGGGAGCUAAGACGAGGCCGUAAGGCGUAGUCGAUGCACAGCUAGGUUAAUAUUCCAGCACCGCCUAGGACUUUAUCUAAGAAGAGACGCGGCUUUGGAAAUGACAGCCUUAUCGAAUUGGUAAACUCUGGAUCCCUCGUUGGAGAAGGAGUGUCAUGGAAAAAGUCGCCUAGAAAAAUUCUUAGCGUUAUCCUAGGCGCCCGUACCGCAAACCGACACAGGUAGGUGGGUGUAAAUGCACCAAGGCGCGCGAGAUAAACCUCUCUAAGGAACUCGGCAAAAUUACCCCGUAACUUCGGGAGAAGGGGUGCUCGUAUUUUGCGAGUCACAGUAAAUUGGGUCUGGCGACUGUUUAACAAAAACACAGCCCUCUGCUAAGUCGUGAAGACGACGUAUAGGGGGUAACACGUGACCAAUGCCGUAAGAUUAAGGUAAGGGGUGAGAGCUCUGAACUAAAGUCCCGGUGAAUGUCGGCCGUAACUAUAACGGUCCUAAGGUAGCGAAAUUCCUUGUCGGGUAAGUUCCGACCUGCACGAAUCGUGUAACGACCGGACCGCUGUCUCGGAGUGGUUCUCGGCGAAAUUGUAGUGGCGGUGAAGAUGCCGCCUGCCCGCAGUAGGACGGAAAGACCCUAUGCACCUUUACUAUAAGCUGGUAUUGGGUUCUGAUUUUUAAUGCGUAGCAUAGGUGGGAGACGUUGAAUUGGCAGUUUCGGUUGCCAAGGAGUCAUCAGUGAAAUACCACUCUUUAUUGAUUAGGAUUCUAACCCCAACCCUGUUAGCCAGGUGGGGGACAGUGCCUGCGGGUUAGUUUGACUGGGGCGGUUUCCUCCUAAAAAGUAACGGAGGAGUGCGAAGGUACUCUCAGUACGGUUGGCAACCGUGCGUCGAGCAUAUUGGUAGAAGAGUGCUUAACUGUGAGACCUACAAGUCGAGCAGAUGCGAAAGCAGGCCAAAGUGAUCCGAUGGUUGAAUGUGGAAUUGCCA
Molecule: ribosomal RNA, 2350 nt
Filed under: seawater metagenome
Description: bacterial LSU rRNA
Rfam family: Bacterial large subunit ribosomal RNA
Source: RNAcentral